UCGUCCGUGCUGGGCAGCUUCUUCCGACGCUGGUUCUCAAGCUGGUAGCUGUGCGCCCCGCGGCUAAGCACCCCAUGGGUCAGAUCCUGCUGGGAGCUGGUGCCCGGGCUGGGGGCUGCAUGCCUUCUGGGGCGCUGCGGAGCUGCGGGGACCCCCAUGGGGGCCAAGUGUGUGUGUGUGCGCGUGCGUACAGGGCAAUAAAGUCUAUUUAUGCUAACAGC
Long non-coding RNA from Pygoscelis adeliae (Adelie penguin), 221 nucleotides. RefSeq lists it as uncharacterized. The transcript is spliced from 2 exons. The record is from RefSeq and is a predicted model, not a curated record. NCBI's taxonomy places the organism in Eukaryota, Metazoa, Chordata, Aves, Sphenisciformes, Spheniscidae.